AACGAACGCUGGCGGCGUGCCUAACACAUGCAAGUCGAGCGCGAAAAGGGCAACCUGAGUAGAGCGGCGCACGGGUGCGUAACACGUGGGUAAUCUGCCUUAGAGUCGAGGAUAACCUUCCGAAAGGUUGGCUAAUACUCGGUAAGCUUACGGUGUCUUCGGACGCUGUGGGAAAAGUAGGCCUCUGUUUACAAGCUUACGCUCUGAGAUGAGUCCGCGGCCCAUCAGCUAGUUGGCGGUGUAACGGACCACCAAGGCAACGACGGGUAGCUGGUCUGAGAGGACGAUCAGCCACACUGGAACUGAGACACGGUCCAGACUCCUACGGGAGGCAGCAGUGGGGAAUUUUCCACAAUGGGCGAAAGCCUGAUGGAGCAACGCAGCGUGUGUGAUGAAGGUUUUCGGAUCGUAAAGCACUUUCGACCGGGACGAAAAACCUCUGGCUAACAUCCAGGGGCCUGACGGUACCGGGAGAAGAAGCACCGGCUAACUCUGUGCCAGCAGCCGCCGUAA
This 513-nucleotide ribosomal RNA is filed under the name uncultured bacterium. Its description in RNAcentral is "partial 16S ribosomal RNA". It matches the Rfam family "Bacterial small subunit ribosomal RNA", at positions 29 to 523 of the family's 1533-position model. The record is from RNAcentral.